ACAGUCACACAUUAGAUACCCGGGUAGUCCUAGCCGUAAACGAUACUCGCUAGGUGUCGGCCACGGUGCGACCGUUGUCGGUGCCGUAGGGAAGCCGUGAAGCGAGCCACCUGGGAAGUACGGCCGCAAGGCUGAAACUUAAAGGAAAUUGGCGGGGAGCACAACAACGGGUGGAGCUUGCGGUUUAAUUGGAUUCAACGCCGGAAAUCUUACCGGGACCGACAGCAACAUGAAGGCCAAGCUGAAGACUUUGCCGGAUUAGCUG
This 265-nucleotide ribosomal RNA is filed under the name uncultured archaeon. RNAcentral describes it as "partial 16S ribosomal RNA". It matches the Rfam family "Archaeal small subunit ribosomal RNA", at positions 719 to 982 of the family's 1478-position model. The record is from RNAcentral.